This 2927-nucleotide ribosomal RNA is filed under the name Staphylococcus epidermidis WI05. RNAcentral's name for it is "bacterial LSU rRNA". It matches the Rfam family "Bacterial large subunit ribosomal RNA". Lineage: Bacteria; Bacillati; Bacillota; Bacilli; Caryophanales; Staphylococcaceae. The record is from RNAcentral.
AGAUUAAGUUAUUAAGGGCGCACGGUGGAUGCCUUGGCACUAGAAGCCGAUGAAGGACGUUACUAACGACGAUAUGCUUUGGGUAGCUGUAAGUAAGCGUUGAUCCAGAGAUUUCCGAAUGGGGGAACCCAGCAUGAGUUAUGUCAUGUUAUCGACAUGUGAAUUCAUAGCAUGUCAGAAGGCAGACCCGGAGAACUGAAACAUCUUAGUACCCGGAGGAAGAGAAAGAAAAAUCGAUUCCCUGAGUAGCGGCGAGCGAAACGGGAAGAGCCCAAACCAACAAGCUUGCUUGUUGGGGUUGUAGGACACUCUAUACGGAGUUACAAAAGAACAUGUUAGACGAAUCAUCUGGAAAGAUGAAUCAAAGAAGGUAAUAAUCCUGUAGUCGAAAACAUAUUCUCUCUUGAGUGGAUCCUGAGUACGACGGAGCACGUGAAAUUCCGUCGGAAUCUGGGAGAACCAUCUCCUAAGGCUAAAUACUCUCUAGUGACCGAUAGUGAACCAGUACCGUGAGAGAAAGGUGAAAAGUACCCCGGAAGGGGAGUGAAAGAGAACUUGAAACCGUGUGCUUACAAGUAGUCAGAGCCCGUUAAUGGGUGAUGGCGUGCCUUUUGUAGAAUGAACCGGCGAGUUACGAUCUGAUGCAAGGUUAAGCAGCAAAUGUGGAGCCGCAGCGAAAGCGAGUCUGAAUAGGGCGUUGAGUAUUUGGUCGUAGACCCGAAACCAGGUGAUCUACCCUUGGUCAGGUUGAAGUUCAGGUAACACUGAAUGGAGGACCGAACCGACUUACGUUGAAAAGUGAGCGGAUGAACUGAAGGGUAGCGGAGAAAUUCCAAUCGAACUUGGAGAUAGCUGGUUCUCUCCGAAAUAGCUUUAGGGCUAGCCUCAAGUGAUGAUUAUUGGAGGUAGAGCACUGUUUGGACGAGGGGCCCCUCUCGGGUUACCGAAUUCAGACAAACUCCGAAUGCCAAUUAAUUUAACUUGGGAGUCAGAACAUGGGUGAUAAGGUCCGUGUUCGAAAGGGAAACAGCCCAGACCACCAGCUAAGGUCCCAAAAUAUAUGUUAAGUGGAAAAGGAUGUGGCGUUGCCCAGACAACUAGGAUGUUGGCUUAGAAGCAGCCAUCAUUUAAAGAGUGCGUAAUAGCUCACUAGUCGAGUGACACUGCGCCGAAAAUGUACCGGGGCUAAACAUAUUACCGAAGCUGUGGAUUGUCCUUUGGACAAUGGUAGGAGAGCGUUCUAAGGGCGUCGAAGCAUGAUCGCAAGGACAUGUGGAGCGCUUAGAAGUGAGAAUGCCGGUGUGAGUAGCGAAAGACGGGUGAGAAUCCCGUCCACCGAUUGACUAAGGUUUCCAGAGGAAGGCUCGUCCGCUCUGGGUUAGUCGGGUCCUAAGCUGAGGCCGACAGGCGUAGGCGAUGGAUAACAGGUUGAUAUUCCUGUACCACCUAGUAUCGUUUUAAUCGAUGGGGGGACGCAGUAGGAUAGGCGAAGCGUGCUGUUGGAGUGCACGUCCAAGCAGUAAGGCUGAGUGUUAGGCAAAUCCGGCACUCAUAAGGCUGAGCUGUGAUGGGGAGAGGAAAUUGUUUCCUCGAGUCGUUGAUUUCACACUGCCGAGAAAAGCCUCUAGAUAGAUAACAGGUGCCCGUACCGCAAACCGACACAGGUAGUCAAGAUGAGAAUUCUAAGGUGAGCGAGCGAACUCUCGUUAAGGAACUCGGCAAAAUGACCCCGUAACUUCGGGAGAAGGGGUGCUCUUUAGGGUUCACGCCCAGAAGAGCCGCAGUGAAUAGGCCCAAGCGACUGUUUAUCAAAAACACAGGUCUCUGCUAAACCGUAAGGUGAUGUAUAGGGGCUGACGCCUGCCCGGUGCUGGAAGGUUAAGAGGAGUGGUUAGCUUCUGCGAAGCUACGAAUCGAAGCCCCAGUAAACGGCGGCCGUAACUAUAACGGUCCUAAGGUAGCGAAAUUCCUUGUCGGGUAAGUUCCGACCCGCACGAAAGGCGUAACGAUUUGGGCACUGUCUCAACGAGAGACUCGGUGAAAUCAUAGUACCUGUGAAGAUGCAGGUUACCCGCGACAGGACGGAAAGACCCCGUGGAGCUUUACUGUAGCCUGAUAUUGAAAUUCGGCACAGCUUGUACAGGAUAGGUAGGAGCCUUUGAAACGUGAGCGCUAGCUUACGUGGAGGCGUUGGUGGGAUACUACCCUAGCUGUGUUGGCUUUCUAACCCGCACCACUUAUCGUGGUGGGAGACAGUGUCAGGCGGGCAGUUUGACUGGGGCGGUCGCCUCCUAAAAGGGAACGGAGGCGCUCAAAGGUUCCCUCAGAAUGGUUGGAAAUCAUUCAUAGAGUGUAAAGGCAUAAGGGAGCUUGACUGCGAGACCUACAAGUCGAGCAGGGUCGAAAGACGGACUUAGUGAUCCGGUGGUUCCGCAUGGAAGGGCCAUCGCUCAACGGAUAAAAGCUACCCCGGGGAUAACAGGCUUAUCUCCCCCAAGAGUUCACAUCGACGGGGAGGUUUGGCACCUCGAUGUCGGCUCAUCGCAUCCUGGGGCUGUAGUCGGUCCCAAGGGUUGGGCUGUUCGCCCAUUAAAGCGGUACGCGAGCUGGGUUCAGAACGUCGUGAGACAGUUCGGUCCCUAUCCGUCGUGGGCGUAGGAAAUUUGAGAGGAGCUGUCCUUAGUACGAGAGGACCGGGAUGGACAUACCUCUGGUGUACCAGUUGUCGUGCCAACGGCAUAGCUGGGUAGCUAUGUAUGGACGGGAUAAGUGCUGAAAGCAUCUAAGCAUGAAGCCCCCCUCAAGAUGAGAUUUCCCAACUUCGGUUAUAAGAUCCCUCGAAGAUGACGAGGUUAAUAGGUUCGAGGUGGAAGCGUGGUGACACGUGGAGCUGACGAAUACUAAUCGAUCGAAGACUUAAUCAAUUU